Molecule: ribosomal RNA, 254 nt
Filed under: uncultured bacterium
Lineage: Bacteria
Description: partial 16S ribosomal RNA
Rfam family: Bacterial small subunit ribosomal RNA
Source: RNAcentral
UACGAAGGGUGCAAGCGUUACUCGGAAUUACUGGGCGUAAAGCGUGCGUAGGCGGUUUGUUAAGUCCGUUGUGAAAGCCCUGGGCUCAACCUGGGAAUUGCAGUGGAUACUGGCGAGCUAGAGUGCGGUAGAGGAUGGUGGAAUUCCCGGUGUAGCGGUGAAAUGCGUAGAGAUCGGGAGGAACACCCGUGGCGAAGGCGGCCAUCUGGACCAGCACUGACGCUGAGGCACGGAAAGCGUGGGGAGCAAACAGG